This 480-nucleotide ribosomal RNA is filed under the name uncultured bacterium. RNAcentral's name for it is "bacterial SSU rRNA". It matches the Rfam family "Bacterial small subunit ribosomal RNA", at positions 501 to 985 of the family's 1533-position model. The record is from RNAcentral.
CUACGUGCCAGCAGCCGCGGUAAUACGGAGGAUGCGAGCGUUAUCCGGAAUCAUUGGGUUUAAAGGGUCCGUAGGCGGGCUGAUAAGUCAGAGGUGAAAGCGCUUAGCUCAACUAAGCAACUGCCUUUGAAACUGUCAGUCUUGAAUGAUUGUGAAGUAGUUGGAAUGUGUAGUGUAGCGGUGAAAUGCUUAGAUAUUACACAGAACACCGAUAGCGAAGGCAUAUUACCAACAAUUUAUUGACGCUGAUGGACGAAAGCGUGGGGAGCGAACAGGAUUAGAUACCCUGGUAGUCCACGCUGUAAACGAUGGAUACUAGCUGUUUGGAGCAAUCUGAGUGGCUAAGCGAAAGUGAUAAGUAUCCCACCUGGGGAGUACGCCGGCAACGGUGAAACUCAAAGGAAUUGACGGGGGCCCGCACAAGCGGAGGAACAUGUGGUUUAAUUCGAUGAUACGCGAGGAACCUUACCCGGGCUUGAA